AUGAACGCUGGCGGCGUGCCUAAUACCUGCAAGUCGAGCGAACGGACGAGAAGCUUGCUUCUCUGAUGUUAGCGGCGGACGGGUGAGUAACACGUGGAUAACCUACCUAUAAGACUGGGAUAACUUCGGGAAACCGGAGCUAAUACCGGAUAAUAUUUUGAACCGCAUGGUUCAAAGGUGAAAGACGGUCUUGCUGUCACUUAUAGAUGGAUCCGCGCUGCAUUAGCUAGUUGGUAAGGUAACGGCUUACCAAGGCAACGAUGCAUAGCCGACCUGAGAGGGUGAUCGGCCACACUGGAACUGAGACACGGUCCAGACUCCUACGGGAGGCAGCAGUAGGGAAUCUUCCGCAAUGGGCGAAAGCCUGACGGAGCAACGCCGCGUGAGUGAUGAAGGUCUUCGGAUCGUAAAACUCUGUUAUUAGGGAAGAACAUAUGUGUAAGUAACUGUGCACAUCUUGACGGUACCUAAUCAGAAAGCCACGGCUAACUACAUG
RNAcentral lists this ribosomal RNA (496 nucleotides) under uncultured bacterium. RNAcentral describes it as "partial 16S ribosomal RNA". It matches the Rfam family "Bacterial small subunit ribosomal RNA", at positions 29 to 507 of the family's 1533-position model. The record is from RNAcentral.